Molecule: ribosomal RNA, 564 nt
Filed under: Dominikia gansuensis
Lineage: Eukaryota; Fungi; Glomeromycota; Glomeromycetes; Glomerales; Glomeraceae
Also listed under: 1 other name
Description: SSU rRNA
Rfam family: Eukaryotic small subunit ribosomal RNA
Source: RNAcentral
UUGGAGGGCAAGUCUGGUGCCAGCAGCCGCGGUAAUUCCAGCUCCAAUAGCGUAUAUUAAAGUUGUUGCAGUUAAAAAGCUCGUAGUUGAAUUUCGGAAUCAAUUUGUUGGUCGUGCCUCGGUACGUACUGGUAUUAUUGGUUUCUACCUUCUGAAGAACCUUGAUGUCAUUAAUUUGGUGUCUUGGGGAAUCAGGACUGUUACUUUGAAAAAAUUAGAGUGUUUAAAGCAAGCAUACGCUUGAAUACAUUAGCAUGGAAUAAUGAAAUAGGACGUUUGAUUCUAUUUUGUUGGUUUCUAGGAUCGACGUAAUGAUUAAUAGGGAUAGUUGGGGGCAUUAGUAUUCAAUUGUCAGAGGUGAAAUUCUUGGAUUUAUUGAAGACUAACUACUGCGAAAGCAUUUGCCAAGGAUGUUUUCAUUAAUCAAGAACGAAAGUUAGGGGAUCGAAGACGAUCAGAUACCGUCGUAGUCUUAACCAUAAACUAUGCCGACUAGGGAUCGGAUGAUGUUAAUUUUUUAAUGACUCAUUCGGCGCCUUACGGGAAACCAAAGUGUUUGGGUUC